CCUACGGGAGGCAGCAGUGGGGGAUAUUGCACAAUGGGGGAAACCCUGAUGCAGCGACGCCGCGUGAGUGAAGAAGUAUUUCGGUAUGUAAAGCUCUAUCAGCAGGGAAGAAAAUGACAGUACUUGACCAAGAAGCCCCGGCUAACUACGUGCCAGCAGCCGCGGUAAUACGUAGGGGGCAAGCGUUAUCCGGAUUUACUGGGUGUAAAGGGAGCGUAGACGGUUAUGUAAGUCUGGAGUGAACGCCCGGGGCGCAACCCCGGGACUGCUUUGGAAACUGUGUGACUGGAGUACAGGAGGGGCAGGCGGAAUUCCUGGUGUAGCGGUGAAAUGCGUAGAUAUCAGGAGGAACACCGGCGGCGAAGGCGGCCUGCUGGACUGAAACUGACGUUGAGGCUCGAAAGCGUGGGGAGCAAACAGGAUUAGAUACCCGGGUAGUC
This 440-nucleotide ribosomal RNA is filed under the name uncultured bacterium. RNAcentral's name for it is "partial 16S ribosomal RNA". It matches the Rfam family "Bacterial small subunit ribosomal RNA", at positions 338 to 795 of the family's 1533-position model. The record is from RNAcentral.